Molecule: long non-coding RNA, 555 nt
Organism: Dendronephthya gigantea
Lineage: Eukaryota; Metazoa; Cnidaria; Anthozoa; Malacalcyonacea; Nephtheidae
Exons: 3
Source: RefSeq, a predicted model, not a curated record
UAAUCGCCUGUUCGCAGGUUAACUAAACACAACAUUGCAUUUCUUACCAGUAUGUUGUUUCUUUGAAUAUCGCCUAGUUUUUAUACUAUCCUGUCUCGUAAAUCUGCUGGAAAACGCAAAAAGAAUGAAGAUGAACACCUAGACUCGAUAAUUGAUGAGAUUAACACCAUUACAGGUGCAGAGUCUUCUAAAAGUAGAAAGACUCGACCUAACCACUCAAGUAAAAAUAAAGAUAUUGACAUCGUACUGAGAAGAGACGAAUCUGGCCAGCGAAUAUAUCACAACCCAAGACGAUUGUCGCAGUCUAGCUGGGCAAGACGAGGCAGCAAUAUCACUGCAACUACUGCAAACAAGGAAGGAUUUGUCGAGACAGACUCUGUGAACGAAAGCAAUCCAGAGUCAGUGGGGUUAGGGUGAAUUUUCUGGCCCCGGAAAAUAUCAAAUGAUCAGCUUCUGAAGCAAACCGAACAGGAGGAUAUUUGUACCCUUAUCACCAGGAGAAGAUGGAGAUAUUUCAGGCAUGUGCUGUGAAAGAGCAAUAACAACAUAGCCAGA